RNAcentral lists this ribosomal RNA (498 nucleotides) under uncultured bacterium. Its description in RNAcentral is "partial 16S ribosomal RNA". It matches the Rfam family "Bacterial small subunit ribosomal RNA", at positions 30 to 523 of the family's 1533-position model. The record is from RNAcentral.
AUUGAACGCUGGCGGCAUGCUUUACACAUGCAAGUCGAACGGUAACAGGCCGCAAGGUGCUGACGAGUGGCGAACGGGUGAGUAAUGCAUCGGAACGUGCCCAGUCGUGGGGGAUAACGCAGCGAAAGCUGUGCUAAUACCGCAUACGAUCUAUGGAUGAAAGCGGGGGACCGUAAGGCCUCGCGCGAUUGGAGCGGCCGAUGUCAGCUUAGGUAGUUGGUGGGGUAAAGGCUCACCAAGCCAACGAUCUGUAGCUGGUCUGAGAGGACGACCAGCCACACUGGGACGUAGACACGGCCCAGACUCCUACGGGAGGCAGCAGUGGGGAAUUUUGGACAAUGGGCGCAAGCCUGAUCCAGCAAUGCCGCGUGCAGGAAGAAGGCCUUCGGGUUGUAAACUGCUUUUGUACGGAACGAAAAGGUUUGGGUUAAUACCCUGGGCCGAUGACGGUACCGUAAGAAUAAGCACCGGCUAACUACGUGCCAGCCGCCGCCGUAA